UGCCAGCCUCCGCUGUACUACUGAUUGUGCGAUCGUUAAUCGGAAUCACUGGGCGUAAAGCGUACGUAGGUGGCAAAGUCAGUCAGGCGUGAAAGCCCUCGGCUCAACCGAGGAAUUGCGUUUGAUACUACUUUGCUAGAGUCUCGGAGAGGUUGGCGGAAUUCCAGGUGUAGGAGUGAAAUCCGUAGAUAUCUGGAGGAACACCAGUGGCGAAGGCGGCCAACUGGACGAGUACUGACGCUGAGGUGCGAAAGUGUGGGGAGCAAACAGGAUUAAAUA
Molecule: ribosomal RNA, 279 nt
Filed under: uncultured bacterium
Lineage: Bacteria
Description: partial 16S ribosomal RNA
Rfam family: Bacterial small subunit ribosomal RNA
Source: RNAcentral